GGAGGNUCUCUUGGUGAUUCAUGAUAACUUCUCGAAUCGCACGGCCCCGCGCCGGCGAUGGUUCAUUCAAAUUUCUUCCCUAUCAACUUUCGAUGCUACGGUAUUGUCCUAGCAUGGUUGCAACGGGUGACGGAGGGUUAGGGCUCGACCCCGGAGAAGGAGCCUGAGAAACGGCUACUACAUCCAAGGAAGGCAGCAGGCGCGCAAAUUACCCAAUCCCGAUACGGGGAGGUAGUGACGAUAAAUACCGAUACAGGGCUCUUUUGGGUCCUGUAAUUGGAAUGAGUACAAUUCAAAUCCCUUAACGAGGAACAAUUGGAGGGCANGUCUGGUGCCAGCANCCGCAGGUAAUUCCAGCUCCAAUAGCGUAUAUUAAAGUUGUUGUGGUUAAAAAGCUCGUANUANAAGCUCGGGCUCCGGCCGACCGGUUCGCCUCACCGCGUGCACUGGNNCGGCCGGGCCUUCACCUUCUGCGGAACCGCUAUCUNCUUCACUGGGGGUGUNNGNGGAAACAUGACUUUUACUGUGAAAAAAAUUAUGAGGUGCUNCANGUANGUNUAUNCCUCNNAUACAUUUANGCAUGGAAUAAUGGNAUCGGGACNNGUUG
Molecule: ribosomal RNA, 607 nt
Filed under: ascomycete sp. 378/HP2
Lineage: Eukaryota; Fungi; Ascomycota
Description: partial 18S ribosomal RNA
Rfam family: Eukaryotic small subunit ribosomal RNA
Source: RNAcentral